This 478-nucleotide ribosomal RNA is filed under the name uncultured Smithella sp. RNAcentral's name for it is "bacterial SSU rRNA". It matches the Rfam family "Bacterial small subunit ribosomal RNA", at positions 907 to 1382 of the family's 1533-position model. The record is from RNAcentral. Lineage: Bacteria; Pseudomonadati; Thermodesulfobacteriota; Syntrophia; Syntrophales; Smithellaceae.
UGAAUUGACGGGGCCCGCACAAGCGGUGGAGCAUGUGGUUUAAUUCGACGCAACGCGAAGAACCUUACCAGGGCUUGACAUCCCCUGACCGCGUAUGUAAAGUACGUUUUCACCCUCGGGUGACAGGGAGACAGGUGGUGCAUGGUUGUCGUCAGCUCGUGUCGUGAGAUGUUGGGUUAAGUCCCGCAACGAGCGCAACCCUUAUCUUUAAUUGCCAGCAUUCAGUUGGGCACUUUAAAGAGACUGCCGGUGUUAAACCGGAGGAAGGUGGGGAUGACGUCAAGUCCUCAUGGCCUUUAUGCUUAGGGCUACACACGUGCUACAAUGGGUGGUACAAAGAGAAGCCAACUCGCGAGAGCGCGCCAAUCUCAAAAAAGCCAUCCUCAGUUCGGAUUGGAGUCUGCAACUCGACUCCAUGAAGUUGGAAUCGCUAGUAAUCGCGGAUCAGCAUGCCGCGGUGAAUACGUUCCCGGGCCUU